This 432-nucleotide ribosomal RNA is filed under the name Pagurus middendorffii. RNAcentral's name for it is "partial 16S ribosomal RNA". It matches the Rfam family "Bacterial large subunit ribosomal RNA", at positions 1939 to 2571 of the family's 2925-position model. The record is from RNAcentral. Lineage: Eukaryota; Metazoa; Arthropoda; Malacostraca; Decapoda; Paguridae.
AUUCUGACUGUGCGAAGGUAGCAUAAUAAAUUGUCUUUUAAAUGGAGGCUUGAAUGAAAGGUUGGACAAAGUGUCAUCUGUUUCUUAAAUAUUUAUUGAAUUUGACUUUCAAGUGAAAAGGCUUGAAUAAAUUAAAAAGACGAUAAGACCCUAUAAAUCUUUACAAUAAACAUGUUUUAUAUUUUAAUUUAUAAGUUUAUAAAAUAUUAAAUUUGUAGUUGUUCCGCUGGGGCGGCGUGGAUAUAUUAAUAAACUGUCUAUAUAUUAAACUCAAUAAUCAUUGAUUAAUAAGAUUGAUCCUUAAAUAGAUUAAAAGAUUAAGAUACUUUAGGGAUAACAGCGUUAUUUUUUUUGAGAGUUCCUAUCGAAGAAAAAGUUUGCGACCUCGAUGUUGAAUUAAAGUAUCUUUAUGGUGCAGCCGCUAUAAGAGAG